RNAcentral lists this ribosomal RNA (253 nucleotides) under uncultured bacterium. RNAcentral describes it as "partial 16S ribosomal RNA". It matches the Rfam family "Bacterial small subunit ribosomal RNA", at positions 524 to 776 of the family's 1533-position model. The record is from RNAcentral.
UACGAAGGGUGCAAGCGUUACUCGGAAUUACUGGGCGUAAAGCGUGCGUAGGUGGUUCGUUAAGUCUGAUGUGAAAGCCCUGGGCUCAACCUGGGAAUUGCAUGGGAAACUGGCGGGCUUGAGUGUGGCAGAGGAGGGUGGAAUUCCGCGUGUAGCAGUGAAAUGCGUAGAGAUGCGGAGGAACACCGAUGGCGAAGGCAGCCCUCUGGGCCAACACUGACGCUCAGGCACGAAAGCGUGGGGAGCAAACAGG